UGGGGAAUCUUGCGCAAUGGGCGAAAGCCUGACGCAGCAACGCCGCGUGGGGGAAGAAGGUCUUCGGAUUGUAAACCCCUUUCAGUUGGGACGAAGCUUCCAGGGUUAAUAGCUCUGUGGAGUGACGGUACCUUCAGAAGAAGCCCCGGCUAACUACGUGC
This 161-nucleotide ribosomal RNA is filed under the name uncultured bacterium. RNAcentral's name for it is "partial 16S ribosomal RNA". It matches the Rfam family "Bacterial small subunit ribosomal RNA", at positions 355 to 508 of the family's 1533-position model. The record is from RNAcentral.